Molecule: long non-coding RNA, 1146 nt
Filed under: Oncorhynchus mykiss (rainbow trout)
Lineage: Eukaryota; Metazoa; Chordata; Actinopteri; Salmoniformes; Salmonidae
Description: lncRNA (ENSOMYG00000065404.1)
Source: RNAcentral
AAAACCUUAACCUAUAGGAGCCUAUGGCAGCUCCGGGCUGAGGGGCUCUGGGCUGAGGGGCUCUGGCGGCUCUGGGCUGAGGGGUUCUGGCGGCUCUGGGCUGAGGGGCUCUGGCGGCUCUGGGCUGAGGGGCUCUGGCGGCUCUGGGCAGACUGGCGGCGCUGGCGGCUCUGGGCAGACUGGCGGCGCUGGCGGCUCUGGGCAGACUGGCGGCGCUGGCGGCUCUGGGCAGACUGGCGGCGCUGGCGGCUCUGGGCAGACUGGCGGCGCUGGCGGCUCUGGGCAGACUGGCGGCGCUGGGCAGACUGGCGGCGCUGGGCAGACUGGCGGCACUGGCGGCGCUGGGCAAACUGGCGGCACUGGCGGCGCUGGGCAGACUGGCGGCGCUGGGCAGACUGGCGGCACCGGGCAGACUGGCGGCACUGGCGGCGCCGGGCAGACUGGCGGCACUGGCGGCGCCGGGCAGACUGGCGGCGCCGGGCAGACUGGCGGCGCCGGGCAGACUGGCGGCACUGGCGGCGCCGGGCAGACUGGCGGCACUGGCGGCGCCGGGCAGACUGGCGGCACUGGCGGCGCCGGGCAGACUGGCGGCACUGGCGGCGCCGGGCAGACUGGCGGCACUGGCGGCGCCGGGCAGACGGGCGGCUCAGGCGGCGCCGGGCAGACGGGCGGCUCAGGCGGCGCCGGGCAGACGGGCGGCUCAGGCGGCGCCGGGCAGACGGGCGGCUCAGGCGGCGCCGGGCAGACGGGCGGCUCAGGCGGCGCCGGGCAGACGGGCUGCUCAGGCGGCGCCGGGCAGGCGGGCGGCUCAGGCGGCGCCGGGCAGACGGGUGGCUCAGGCGGCGCUGGGCAGACGGGUGGCUCAGGCGGCGCUGGGCAGACGGGUGGCAGAGGCGGCGCUGGGCAGACGGGUGGCUCAGGCGGCGCUGGGCAGACGGGUGGCAGAGGGGAGGCUCCGGCAACGCUGGACUGAGUAGCUCUGGCGCCUCUGGAGUGAGGGGCGGGAGCUCUGGUAGCACCGAACAGGCGGGAGACUCCGGCUGCGCUGGAGAGGAGGAAGGCUCUGGCAGGGCUGGAGAGGCGGGAGACUCCGACAGCGCUGGAGAGGAGGAAGGCUCCGGCAGUGCUGGACAGGAGCCUCUGUAA